Molecule: long non-coding RNA, 4972 nt
Filed under: Aotus nancymaae (Ma's night monkey)
Lineage: Eukaryota; Metazoa; Chordata; Mammalia; Primates; Aotidae
Description: lncRNA (ENSANAG00000038883.1)
Source: RNAcentral
AAUCAGAGGAGCGCCUGGUCACUGAGCGCCGCUGGGUGGCUCGGGUUGCUGGCCAGCGCUGACCAAGUUUGGGAAGCCUAGGAUGGCAAAUCCCGAACGUCCAAAACUUUGUUGGGGUCCGUUGAGCCUGUGUCCCGGUGUCUUCCUGAAUCCCCUCUACCAUCACUACAUUCUGCCUUGCAGGCUUCAGGAGCAGGCACAGGGUUUUGGUGGGGGACUAGACAAAUACAGACGCGGAAUGAAAAUGCUCACUUUGCAAGUGAACGGUGGACACACGUACACACUGGGACCCAGGACAGGUGGUCCUGGGUGUUAAAACAUCUGAAGAGAGAGAUGGGGACGCUGGAAAGAAACCGGCUGUGGGAGCCAGGAGAAGGGCUGGGGAAAGAAGGAGAGGAGCAGCCUGAGGAAAGGCGAGUAAAGCAGCUGGCAAGGGCGGGAGGAAGAGGCUGCGCGCAGACCGAGCGGAGGAGAGGCUGGCAGGAGCGAGGAGAGCUGCAGGCGAGAGGGGGAGGCUGCUGGAAGGAAGCACCGGCGAACGCGGGCAGGGGAACUUCAGAGGAGGCUGCCAAAAAGGAAUGGAGCUGCAGCAGUGCGAGGCAGUGGACAAGGGGGGCAGCAACCACCAGCCCUUGGCAGCCAGCAGAGGGGAAGAUGAGCCCACGGGAAAGAAAAGCAGGCGAGGUUAAGAAUAAAGAGUGUUCCAGGUAUGACAGCUACCUCGGUGAGGUGGAAGAGAGAAUUAACAAAGCAGAUUUCAUGGCUAUCCAUAGGAGUAAAUUUAUACAGAUCCACAGAAGACUGGAUGAACAGCGUGAACAUUUUAGUAGCAGGAAACAUUGGGAGAUGUCAGAAAAAAAUGAUCUGUUUAAAGAGACAGAAGAAAAGGAGAUGGUUUAGUAGACACCUGUUAAUUUGUCUCCCUGGCAUUCAUUCAUCUUCCUCAUGUAAUAACUAAUUGUAGAGGAGUAGCCAAGACAUGCAAGAGGAAGAGUUCUUCUGAAGACACUGAGAACACUAUUGGAAAUGGCAUUCUGACUCUCUACUAUACACAGUGGAAAUAGAAAUUUGAGGAAGAUUAAAUAUUCUCUCCAGAAAAUUUCCUUCUGAUAAUAUGUUUUUUGUGUAAAAUCCAAUAUGCUGCUAUCAGCAUAACUUUUUAGCAAAACAUUGUCUUUAAUUCCAAUCUUGUUAACUUUCCUAUCCUCAGAAAGUAUAUUUCAUAUAUUAUUGUAUAAUAUUCUGUAUAUAUUUUAAAAGUAUUUUUUCUUUUGUGUUUUCAGUUUAUCCCUAUACAAAUUUAAAUAUGGGAAGAUUAUCAUGUUUUUAAAGAAACUGCAUGAAUAUAGCAUAGAUAUUUAUAUAAAAUUUACAUUAAAAUGUAGAAUGCUUUUUCUAUUUGUAGAUUUCAUUUUACAUUUGAUAAUGUUGAAGUCGUCAAUUUGGCCUGCUUUUUUAUAUAGGAAGAAGGCCUCAAUGAGAAUUCCAGAGAUCUCAAACUUAAGCAGAUAUAUUGAUUUUCAAGGUUUCACUCCACAGGAAGUAGACUUAAUCUCAAUGCCAAGAAAAAGCAAUUUAAAAAGUAGAAACAGGAAUUUUUUUAGCUUUCUAGAAAAUUUAAGACAACAGUAAAUAAUCUUUGAGUGCUUAAUGCAAGAAAAAAUCUGGUUUCUUGCUCUCUAAAACUUACUUCCAUCAUCUAUAAGACAGGGACAGCAAUAAUUUCUGCUAGUUAAGGAUGUUAUUAGGAUUAAGUGGGAUAGUGCAUUUAAAGUACUUAGACAAAGGCCUAGUGCAUGUUCAGUAUGUAAUAAAUGGUGGUAUUUUUAUUAUAAGUCAGGAGGCUUAUUUAUCUUCUCUUUUCUAGGUUAUAUAUUUUAAAGUAACAUUGCUUGCUUACAUACAAUAAAAGUCCCCAGUUUAAGUGUCCAGUAGAAUAAAUUUUGACAAAUAUAUCCUCUGUGUAACCACCACCACAGUAAAAGUAUGAAAACUUCUAUCACUUCAAAAAAUUAUUUCUGCUUUUUUCAGCCUCAGGCAACCAUUGAUCUUCUUUUAGAAAUAUAGGUUACUUUGGCUUUUUCUAGAAUUUCACAUAAAUGGAAUUCUACAAUGUGUACUUUUUUGUUGCCUUCUUUCAUUCAGCAUGUUUUAAAAUUUGACAACAAUUUGCAUAUCCUAAAGUUCUUCCUUUUUAUUGCUCAGCAAUAUUCCAUUAUUUUUAAUAUAUCAUAGUUCCUCAUCCAUUAAUUCACUUAUGGACAUAUGGGCUGCUUUUCAUUUUUGGUUAUGGUAAAUAAAGUUGUUAUGAACAUUUUCACACAAAUAAUUUUUAUGUAAAUAUAUUUUAAUCUGUCUCUUGUAACUAUCUAAAAGUAGACUUUCUAUGUCAUAUGGUAAUUGUUUAGCUUUAUAGGAAAUAACCAGUGUUCCGAGUCACUGCACAAUUUUUCAUCCGUAUCCACAAUGGAUGAGAAUUCAAAUUGCUCUACAUCUUUACCGACACUUAAUAUUGCUGGUAUGAUUUUUUAUUGGCAUUCUAGUGGUUAUGUAAUAGCAUCUCAUUACAAUUUAUUAAAAUUAUAUAAAAGCUUUCUUGGUUAUUGAGUAUCUGUUCCUGUGCUUACUGAUAAUUUUUAUACUUUGUAUGUAAAAUAUUUGUUCAAAUCUGUUACCUACAUUUGUUGGACUGUCCUUUUAUUGUUGAAUUAUAAGAAUUCAUUAUUUAUUCUGCAUACCAGUUUUUUUCAGAUGUAUGUAUAUUUUCUCCCAAUCUGGACUAGGCAUUUUUAUUUUGGGGGGAAUCUCUUUUGAAAAGAAGAAAUUUAUUGUAUUAGACUUUUUUCAUGCUGCUAAUAAAGACAUACCUGAGAGUGGGUAGAAAAAAACGAUUUAAUGGACUCCGCGUGGCUAGGGAGGCCUCACAGUCAUGGUGGGAGGUGAAAGGCACAUAUCGCAUGGCAGCAGACAAGAGAAGAGAGCUUGGGCAGGGAAACUCCCCCUUAAAUAAUCAUCAGAUCUGUGAGAAUUAUUCACUAUCUUGAGAAUAGCACAGGAAAGACCUGACCCCAUGAUUCAAUUACCUCCCACUGGGUUCCUCCCACAACACAUGGGAAUUCAAGAUGACAUUUGGGUGGGAAUACAGCCAAACCAUAUCAUUUAUGUUUUGGUAAUCCCAAAAUUAUUUAUUUAUUUUUUUACAGUUCAUGAUUUGGGACAUUCUUAUCUAAAAAUUACCAACAACAAAAUCACAGAGAUUGUAGAUUUUUUUUCCCUUUACGCUCUUUUAAGAAGUGAAAUACUUUGAACAUCAUCUCUGCUUGAUUGAUUUCUAUGCCUAUUCUUAUACCGACAUAAUAUAAUAAGGCUAUUUAUUAGAAUAGCCUUAUUACAGUUCUCCAGCCUAGGCAAUAAUGGUGAGACUCCAUCUUCACAAAAUAUUUAUUAGAAUAGCCUUAUUAAAGUUUUCCAGCCUGGGCAAUAUGGUGAGACUGCAUCUUUACAAAAAAUAGAAAAAACUAUCUGGGUUCAUGCCUGCAGUCUCAGCACUUGGGAGCCUGAAGUGGGAAGAGUGCUUGAACCCAGGAGGUUGAGGCUGCAGUUAGCAGAGAUCACUCCACUGCAUAUCAGCCUGGGUGACAAAGCAAGACCCUGUCUCAAAAAGAAAACAAAAAAAGUCUUGAAAUAAAGUCUUUAAAUGUGUCUUUUAUUUUCAAAAUUGUUUUGGCUAUUAAAGAUUCUUUUCAUUUCAUUCUUAAAAUUUAUGAUUGACUCAUAUUUUUUAGUUAUACAUAUUUUUAGUUAUAAUGUGUGUUUUUACAUGUACACAUUACACAAUGACCAAAUCUGGGUAAUUAACAUAUCCAUCACCUUAAACAUCAUUUCCUUGUAACGAGAACAUUAAAGAACUUGUUCCAGUUAUUUUGAAAUAUACAAUACACUAUUGUUGAGUCAUCAUAAUAUACAAUAGGACAAUUGAAAUUUUUCUAACUGUAACUUUGUAUCGAUUGACCAAUCUCUCCCCAUUCCCGCCUCAUCUUUAUUCUCCCAAUCUUCUAGUAACCACUAUUCUACUGUCUAUUUCUAAGAGAACAAAUUUUGUAUUCUACAUAUAAACAUGUGAAGUGAGAUAAUGAGGUAUUUGUCACUUUAAAAUCAAUAUGACAAUUUUUACUCAAACCAAACCAAAACAAAGAAAACCCCUGGAGAUUGUGGCUGGUAUUGUAUUGAUUCUUUAGAUAAAUUUUAGGAUAAUAUAAAAAUAUUGUAUUUUCCAUUUAUCAGCUUGGUAUAUCUCACCAUCUGUUCACCUCUUUUGCAAUUUCUCACAGCAGAAUAUCAUAUGUUUCAAUUGUACAUGUCUUGUAUAUAUUUUGCUAAAUUCAUUACUAUUUGUUUUAGUGCUAUUGUAAAUGCAUUUUAAAAUUUUUGUUUUAUGUAUUAUUUGCCAGUAUAUAGAAUUAUAAUUGCAUUGACCUUGUACUUUGCAACCUUACUAAAUUCAUAAUCGUGUGUCUGUUUAAUGAAUCCUUGUAAUUCUCUCCAUAAGAAAUCAUACCCUCUGCAAGUAAAUUUUUCUUUUUCUUUUCUACUAUCUAUCACUUUUCUUUCCUCCUUGCUUUAUUUCACUAACAUAAAAUCCAGUCAACUAUUGACUAACAGUUGUAAAUGCAAACUUCUUUGCCUUUUUACUAAUUUUAGGAGGAAUACAUUCAGUGUUUCUUCUUCAGUAUGAUUUUAACUGUAAGGUUUUCAUGGAUACUCUUUACAAGAUUGAAGUGACCUCCUUAUAUUACUCUUUUUCUGGUUGUUUCAACAUGAAUAUGUAUAUAAUUUUGUUAAAUGCUUUUCUAGCAUCUAUUUAAAUGACUGUAUUUUUUCUAUAUUACUAUAUUAGUAUAAUAAAGGUAUAAACAUGCUUUGGAUAGAAUCAAAAUAGAAAUGGGCACUACUGAAAGACAUUUGUAUUCAG